UGGCAGUACGAUAACCUCACUGAGCGGUAGGGCCUCCCGUCCCAGAAUCCUGCAGGACCCAUCGAUCAUGGCCCCACGGGUCCUGCUCCUGCGUGGGUUCCAAUUCCAAGUCGCCCACCGUGACGCCCAUCGAGUCAACCGAACCCAAGCCGUGUGGCGACUGGCGAGGCGAGUGCCCCAGUUCCUAACUCCGGUGGGCGCGCUCCCACCGCCGCGCGGCUCAAAACCCGCCCUCAGCCUCCCGCGCUCCAGUCCACACGGGAGCGGGUGGUGUCGUCUGAAGCGGCGCGAUCAAGGAGUCUUCGGGCGCUCCGGACGUAACGUGCUGGCGGUUGCUUAUCUCCGGAUGUAUAUAUAAGCGGAAAUGUUCUCCUUGUUCUAUGGCCUGUGGAAGUAUGUGUUCGCCAAGGACGAGUUCCGUGUUCUGAUUCUUGGUGUUGACAGAGCUGGCAAGACGACUUUGCUGGAGAAGUUGAAAUCGAUAUAUCUCAAGGGGGAAGGACUUCCGCCUGACCGUGUCGUUCCAACAGUUGGGCUCAACAUUGGCCGCAUCGAAGACGCAAAGGCAAAACUUGUUUUCUGGGAUCUAGGUGGUCAGGUUAGCCUACGAACAAUCUGGGAGAAAUACUAUGAAGAGGCCCAUGCCAUAAUGUACGUUAUUGACGCUGCCACAGCAUCGUCAUUUGAAGAUUCCAAAUCUGCUCUGGAGAAGGUUAUUCGCCAUGAACAUCUGAGAGGAGCACCACUCUUGAUAGUUGCAAACAAACAGGAUUUACCUGGAGCCAUUGAUGAGGAAGAAUUGGCUAAAUUUCUGCAUAAAGAACUGGAUGAGAGGCCAUAUACAUUUCAGGCUGUAUCUGCAUAUGAUGGCAGGGGGAUCAAAUCUGGCAUAGACUGGCUGGUGGAACAAAUGGAAAAAAGCAAACGUACCGAGACACUGCAGGCUCGUGCUGGCGUAGCUGGACAAAUUUAGAAUGGGGUGAAUUUGUUAAAGAACAAAGCAUUGGAUAGGACGGCUUCCUUCGUAUCGCGUAAGCAGCCAUUUGCUGCAUUCCGGGAUUAUCGUUCCAGGUCGCCCAGAGUGCUGCAAGAAAUGUUUGGCUGGUUGCUCCUGUGGUGGUGGUGAUUGGUGAGGCGAUUCGUUUGGUAUUAUUGAGGUUGCAUUCAUAUGUACCUAAAGGUCGCAAGCAUACAUGUCUAUAUGAUGCUUUUCAAUUUUCGUAGCAAACUAGUAGCUUCAAUACAGAGGAUCAAAGAGAGCCGUGUUCUUUAACUUGUUUGUGAUAAAAAAAAAGGAAGAAAGGAAAGCGAAGAAGGAAUUAUUGGUGCAUCUGAAAGUCUUUAUUGCAUAUGUCUAAACCAUUUUAACC
This is an RNA transcript of Zea mays, 1370 nucleotides long. RefSeq lists it as uncharacterized. The transcript has 8 exons. The record is from RefSeq and is marked predicted. NCBI's taxonomy places the organism in Eukaryota, Viridiplantae, Streptophyta, Magnoliopsida, Poales, Poaceae.